GGCGAGCGCACCACGUCUGCGACGAAUCGCUUUUUGUUCCAAAUAAUCUUGUGUCUUUUUGUUACAAAACUAAUUAAAAGUGAUUGAUUAAGUGAUUCCCUAAUUACGAGUGAAUAGAUUUUAGUGAAUUGCUGUAAGGGAGAUACUUUUUGUGAUUCUAUUGUUCCUACCCACAUAACAACUUAUUGAAGACAUGGCUUAUUCUUAUGAUAAAGGGCAUCCGCCCAUAUCAGAAGUGGGAUCCCAUGCGCUACUGACCGUGCAAAAACAACCACCUGACUAAAAUAGCGCCUUGAAGUUGUUAAGUAAUAUGGAAAUUUUACUUACUCGGAUGUUAGCGACAACACAACCACCGGUGGCAACUGCUAACGCCCAGUAUAGUGCAGUGAAAUUCGUAGUUUAAUCGGGUAGACGCAGACGCGGAUAUAGAAGGUUGGUCUUAAUUACUGAGCUUAAAGUACUGACUAAACAUUUAGAGGGCGUAGAUUUCUCUAGCUCUUAGCAGUGUACUGAAAGGGCGCGCAGCUUGCUUGAGCAAGUUAAAUUUGUAUGAGCUGACAUGGGAGAAUGUAAAACAAAGUUUAAUGGCUAGAUUUUGUAAACCAAAAUUAUUUCAAGACUUCUUUGAUGAAAUAUUGCGUUUUCAAAUUGGAACAAAAGAAACUGCAGCAGAGUGGCCUGCGCUUAUGGAAUAUGAUCGAAACUAUACCUAAAACCCGAAUCUCAAGAUUUUAUAACUGGAUACGUCAUAUCGGUCUUAUGUCAGAAGGAUGAUUUGAUAUGCCGUGAGCUAAACGCAUAUACUGUCACUAUUAAACCUCAGCUGUUUAGAAUCUUAAAAGGCAUUUCCCUAAAGCGAAGAUCGGGUGUUACUGAAAUCCAAGAGCCUGAUUUCAAGCGACCUAGAAUUGUGGACGCAAGAUUUCCUGAUUCUUCUAGGAUGACUAAGCAGCAAGAUCCGUCAACUGCAACACGUGCCCCCGAGAAAACUUCUACCGUAACCUGUUAUAUAUGCGGUCAAGUUGGACACAUAGCAACAAUUUGUAAAGAAAAG
Molecule: long non-coding RNA, 1054 nt
Organism: Pieris napi
Lineage: Eukaryota; Metazoa; Arthropoda; Insecta; Lepidoptera; Pieridae
Exons: 2
Source: RefSeq, a predicted model, not a curated record